UGGGGAAUAUUGCACAAUGGGCGCAAGCCUGAUGCAGCCAUGCCGCGUGUAUGAAGAAGGCCUUCGGGUUGUAAAGUACUUUCAGCGGGGAGGAAGGGAGUAAAGUUAAUACCUUUGCUCAUUGACGUUACCCGCAGAAGAAGCACCGGCUAACUCCGUGCCAGCAGCCGCGGUAAUACGGAGGGUGCAAGCGUUAAUCGGAAUUACUGGGCGUAAAGCGCACGCAGGCCGUUUGUUAAGUCAGAUGUGAAAUCCCCGGGCUCAACCUGGGAACUGCAUCUGAUACUGGCAAGCUUGAGUCUCGUAGAGGGGGGUAGAAUUCCAGGUGUAGCGGUGAAAUGCGUAGAGAUCUGGAGGAAUACCGGUGGCGAAGGCGGCCCCCUGGACGAAGACUGACGCUCAGGUGCGAAAGCGUGGGGAGCAAACAGG
Molecule: ribosomal RNA, 429 nt
Filed under: Chloroflexota bacterium
Lineage: Bacteria; Bacillati; Chloroflexota
Description: Chloroflexi bacterium partial 16S ribosomal RNA
Rfam family: Bacterial small subunit ribosomal RNA
Source: RNAcentral